CAGUCGCCGCGGGAAUACAGAGGGUGCGAGCGUUAAUCGGAUUUACUGGGCGUAAAGCGUGCGUAGGCGGCUUCUUAAGUCGGAUGUGAAAUCCCUGAGCUUAACUUAGGAAUUGCAUUCGAUACUGGGAAGCUAGAGUAUGGGAGAGGAUGGUAGAAUUCCAGGUGUAGCGGUGAAAUGCGUAGAGAUCUGGAGGAAUACCGAUGGCGAAGGCAGCCAUCUGGCCUAAUACUGACACUGAGGUGCGAAAGCGUGGGGAGCAAACAGGAUUAGAUACCCGUGUAGUCCCUGUCUCUUAUAC
RNAcentral lists this ribosomal RNA (301 nucleotides) under uncultured bacterium. RNAcentral describes it as "partial 16S ribosomal RNA". It matches the Rfam family "Bacterial small subunit ribosomal RNA", at positions 509 to 807 of the family's 1533-position model. The record is from RNAcentral.